RNA transcript from Cucumis melo (muskmelon), 826 nucleotides. RefSeq lists it as uncharacterized. The transcript is spliced from 3 exons. Lineage: Eukaryota; Viridiplantae; Streptophyta; Magnoliopsida; Cucurbitales; Cucurbitaceae. The record is from RefSeq and is a predicted model, not a curated record.
CUUUUUCCAAGAACAGAGAAAAACCUCUUCCAAUCCCUGCAUUGCCCAAAAAGAGAAAACAACAAAGCAAAUCUAGAUAUCUAGUGUUUCCACAAAAGAACACUAUUAUAAAUUGUAAUCUAAUCUCAAUAUGAAGGUCAAUAUCGAAGACCAUCCUUACCUGCCUGGGAAACAUGCAUCUGUACAUCCAAAAAUUCAUGGAGCUGCAGUGAAGAAAAUGGUCAAAAGUCGAAUGUCGCAAGGCAAUGUACCUGAAGUCAGCAAGUGCCUUUCUUUAUUUUUGGAAUUCUUUGCUUCGGUAUUUCCAACUAUUAUAUAUGAUUGCAACAUUGGCUUUGAUUAGGAGAGCAGCGGUAGCUAAUAAAGGUGGCUUUACAGAAGGAAUAUUCAGGAAUUUUCACGAAGAUUUGAAAAACUUUAGUCUAAGAAACCGAUCCCCUAUUUUCUUCGUUCAUUAUGUUAAUACUAGGACUAUGACUUCAUCUAGCCUCUAUAAAUUCCUAUUCAAUAAAAACUAAAUUCAUUUUUUCUAUGAAGAUUUUCUCGUUUUGAUGGCUUGUUGAAGUUUUCUUGUUUACCGACCCUUUUUCUAAAUCUAUUUUCUAAUAAUGUUACAAGUGGUUUUAUAAUAGAGAAAGUAAUCAUCUUUUGUAAUAUCUGUUCUAAGAAAAAUGUUUUUUUUUUUUUAUAAGAAUGAAAUACUUGAAAUUAUACUCUCUAUAAAAAGUUUCUUUAACAAAGGGGUGUAAGUUUUUGGAUGUAUCAAAUUUUUGUACUUUUAAGCCAAGUGGCUGCUAUGUAAUCUAAUUAUUUUCAAAAUUUAUUU